This 228-nucleotide ribosomal RNA is filed under the name uncultured bacterium. RNAcentral's name for it is "partial 16S ribosomal RNA". It matches the Rfam family "Bacterial small subunit ribosomal RNA", at positions 568 to 796 of the family's 1533-position model. The record is from RNAcentral.
UGUGUAGGCGGUUAUUUAAGUCUUUGGUGUAAGUGCAGGGCUCAACUCUGUGAUGCUAAGGAAACUGGAUGACUUGAGUGUGGUAGAGGUAAGUAGAAUUCCAUGUGUAGCGGUAAAAUGCGUAAAUAUAUGGAGGAAUACCAGUGGCGAAGGCGGCUUACUGGGCCACAACUGACGCUGAGGCACGAAAGCGUGGGGAGCAAACAGGAUUAGAUACCCUGGUAGUCC